GAUGAACGCUGGUGGCGUGCCUAACACAUGCCAGUCGAGCGAUUCUCUUCGGAGAAGAGCGGCGGACGGGUGAGUAACGCGUGGGUAACCUGCCCUGUACACACGGAUAACAUACCGAAAGGUAUGCUAAUACGAGAUAACAUGCUUUUAUCGCAUGGUAGAAGUAUCAAAGCUUUUGCGGUACAGGAUGGACCCGCGUCUGAUUAGCUAGUUGGUGAGGUAACGGCUCACCAAGGCGACGAUCAGUAGCCGACCUGAGAGGGUGAUCGGCCACAUUGGAACUGAGACACGGUCCAAACUCCUACGGGAGGCAGCAGUGGGGAAUAUUGCACAAUGGGCGAAAGCCUGAUGCAGCAACGCCGCGUGAGCGAUGAAGGCCUUCGGGUCGUGAAGCUCUGUCCUCAAGGAAGAUAAUGACGGUACUUGAGGAGGAAGCCCCGGCUAACUACGUG
This 452-nucleotide ribosomal RNA is filed under the name uncultured bacterium. RNAcentral's name for it is "partial 16S ribosomal RNA". It matches the Rfam family "Bacterial small subunit ribosomal RNA", at positions 28 to 507 of the family's 1533-position model. The record is from RNAcentral.